AACGUCCGUCGUGAAGAGGGAAACAACCCAGACCGCCAGCUAAGGUCCCAAAGUCAUGGUUAAGUGGGAAACGAUGUGGGAAGGCCCAGACAGCCAGGAUGUUGGCUUAGAAGCAGCCAUCAUUUAAAGAAAGCGUAAUAGCUCACUGGUCGAGUCGGCCUGCGCGGAAGAUGUAACGGGGCUAAACCAUGCACCGAAGCUGCGGCAGCGACACUAUGUGUUGUUGGGUAGGGGAGCGUUCUGUAAGCCUGUGAAGGUGUACUGUGAGGUAUGCUGGAGGUAUCAGAAGUGCGAAUGCUGACAUAAGUAACGAUAAAGCGGGUGAAAAGCCCGCUCGCCGGAAGACCAAGGGUUCCUGUCCAACGUUAAUCGGGGCAGGGUGAGUCGACCCCUAAGGCGAGGCCGAAAGGCGUAGUCGAUGGGAAACAGGUUAAUAUUCCUGUACUUGGUGUUACUGCGAAGGGGGGACGGAGAAGGCUAUGUUGGCCGGGCGACGGUUGUCCCGGUUUAAGCGUGUAGGCUGGUUUUCCAGGCAAAUCCGGAAAAUCAAGGCUGAGGCGUGAUGACGAGGCACUACGGUGCUGAAGCAACAAAUGCCCUGCUUCCAGGAAAAGCCUCUAAGCAUCAGGUAACAUCAAAUCGUACCCCAAACCGACACAGGUGGUCAGGUAGAGAAUACCAAGGCGCUUGAGAGAACUCGGGUGAAGGAACUAGGCAAAAUGGUGCCGUAACUUCGGGAGAAGGCACGCUGAUAUGUAGGUGAAGUCCCUCGCGGAUGGAGCUGAAAUCAGUCGAAGAUACCAGCUGGCUGCAACUGUUUAUUAAAAACACAGCACUGUGCAAACACGAAAGUGGACGUAUACGGUGUGACGCCUGCCCGGUGCCGGAAGGUUAAUUGAUGGGGUCAGCGCAAGCGAAGCUCUUGAUCGAAGCCCCGGUAAACGGCGGCCGUAACUAUAACGGUCCUAAGGUAGCGAAAUUCCUUGUCGGGUAAGUUCCGACCUGCACGAAUGGCGUAAUGAUGGCCAGGCUGUCUCCACCCGAGACUCAGUGAAAUUGAACUCGCUGUGAAGAUGCAGUGUACCCGCGGCAAGACGGAAAGACCCCGUGAACCUUUACUAUAGCUUGACACUGAACAUUGAGCCUUGAUGUGUAGGAUAGGUGGGAGGCUUAGAAGUGUGGACGCCAGUCUGCAUGGAGCCGACCUUGAAAUACCACCCUUUAAUGUUUGAUGUUCUAACGUUGACCCGUGAUCCGGGUUGCGGACAGUGUCUGGUGGGUAGUUUGACUGGGGCGGUCUCCUCCUAAAGAGUAACGGAGGAGCACGAAGGUUGGCUAAUCCUGGUCGGACAUCAGGAGGUUAGUGCAAUGGCAUAAGCCAGCUUGACUGCGAGCGUGACGGCGCGAGCAGGUGCGAAAGCAGGUCAUAGUGAUCCGGUGGUUCUGAAUGGAAGGGCCAUCGCUCAACGGAUAAAAGGUACUCCGGGGAUAACAGGCUGAUACCGCCCAAGAGUUCAUAUCGACGGCGGUGUUUGGCACCUCGAUGUCGGCUCAUCACAUCCUGGGGCUGAAGUAGGUCCCAAGGGUAUGGCUGUUCGCCAUUUAAAGUGGUACGCGAGCUGGGUUUAGAACGUCGUGAGACAGUUCGGUCCCUAUCUGCCGUGGGCGCUGGAGAACUGAGGGGGGCUGCUCCUAGUACGAGAGGACCGGAGUGGACGCAUCACUGGUGUUCGGGUUGUCAUGCCAAUGGCACUGCCCGGUAGCUAAAUGCGGAAGAGAUAAGUGCUGAAAGCAUCUAAGCACGAAACUUGCCCCGAGAUGAGUUCUCCCUGACCCUUUAAGGGUCCUGAAGGAACGUUGAAGACGACGACGUUGAUAGGCCGGGUGUGUAAGCGCAGCGAUGCGUUGAGCUAACCGGUACUAAUGAACCGUGAGG
Molecule: ribosomal RNA, 1936 nt
Filed under: Escherichia coli
Lineage: Bacteria; Pseudomonadati; Pseudomonadota; Gammaproteobacteria; Enterobacterales; Enterobacteriaceae
Description: partial 23S ribosomal RNA
Rfam family: Bacterial large subunit ribosomal RNA
Source: RNAcentral